RNAcentral lists this ribosomal RNA (484 nucleotides) under uncultured bacterium. Its description in RNAcentral is "partial 16S ribosomal RNA". It matches the Rfam family "Bacterial small subunit ribosomal RNA", at positions 30 to 507 of the family's 1533-position model. The record is from RNAcentral.
AUUGAACGCUGGCGGCAGGCCUAACACAUGCAAGUCGAGCGGAUGAAGGGAGCUUGCUCCUGGAUUCAGCGGCGGACGGGUGAGUAAUGCCUAGGAAUCUGCCUGGUAGUGGGGGAUAACGUCCGGAAACGGGCGCUAAUACCGCAUACGUCCUGAGGGAGAAAGUGGGGGAUCUUCGGACCUCACGCUAUCAGAUGAGCCUAGGUCGGAUUAGCUAGUUGGUGGGGUAAAGGCCUACCAAGGCGACGAUCCGUAACUGGUCUGAGAGGAUGGUCAGUCACACUGGAACUGAGACACGGUCCAGACUCCUACGGGAGGCAGCAGUGGGGAAUAUUGGACAAUGGGCGAAAGCCUGAUCCAGCCAUGCCGCGUGUGUGAAGAAGGUCUUCGGAUUGUAAAGCACUUUAAGUUGGGAGGAAGGGCAGUAAGUUAAUACCUUGCUGUUUUGACGUUACCAACAGAAUAAGCACCGGCCAACUUCGUG